Molecule: ribosomal RNA, 615 nt
Filed under: Metarhizium cylindrosporum
Lineage: Eukaryota; Fungi; Ascomycota; Sordariomycetes; Hypocreales; Clavicipitaceae
Description: eukaryotic LSU rRNA
Rfam family: 5.8S ribosomal RNA (bases 227-380)
Source: RNAcentral
AUCGUAACAAGGUCUCCGUUGGUGAGACCAGCGGAGGGAUCAUUACCGAGUUUACAACUCCCAAACCCCUGUGAACUUAUACCUUUACUGUUGCCUCGGCGGUUCCGCCCCGGGAAAUAGGUUCGCGAGAGCCUAGCCCCCUGGAAUCAAGGCGCCCGCCGGUGGGAAUUACAGAACUCUUGUAUGUUUUUGCAUGUCUGAGUGGAAAUACUAUAAAAUGAAUCAAAACUUUCAACAACGGAUCUCUUGGUUCUGGCAUCGAUGAAGAACGCAGCGAAAUGCGAUAAGUAAUGUGAAUUGCAGAAUUCAGUGAAUCAUCGAAUCUUUGAACGCACAUUGCGCCCGCCAGUAUUCUGGCGGGCAUGCCUGUUCGAGCGUCAUUUCAACCCUCAAGCCCGCAGCGGUUUGGUGUUGGGGACCGGCUGUAGCGCUUGCUGCAUAUAGUGCAAGCGCGCGCCGCCCCCGAAAUGAAUUGGCGGUCUCGUCGCGGCCUCCUCUGCGUAGUAGCACAAACCUCGCAACAGGAGCGCGGCGCGGCCACUGCCGUAAAACGCCCAACUUUUUAAGAGUGACCUCGAUCAGGUAGGAAUACCCGCUGAACUUAAGCAUAUCAUA